RNAcentral lists this transfer RNA (56 nucleotides) under Cylicocyclus insigne. RNAcentral describes it as "tRNA-Tyr". Lineage: Eukaryota; Metazoa; Nematoda; Chromadorea; Rhabditida; Strongylidae. The record is from RNAcentral.
AAGAAUGUAGUUUAAUAAAAAUGUUAGAUUGUAAAUCUAAAGUUAGUUAUUCUUGU